This 773-nucleotide ribosomal RNA is filed under the name uncultured Neocallimastigales. RNAcentral's name for it is "partial large subunit ribosomal RNA". It matches the Rfam family "Eukaryotic large subunit ribosomal RNA", at positions 24 to 644 of the family's 3401-position model. The record is from RNAcentral. Lineage: Eukaryota; Fungi; Neocallimastigomycota; Neocallimastigomycetes; Neocallimastigales.
UAUCUCUGUAGAGUCUGCAUAUCAAUAAGCGGAGGAAAAGAAACUAACAAGGAUUCCCUUAGUAACGGCGAGUGAAGCGGGAAGAGCUCAAAUUCGAAAUCUUCAAGGUUCUACCUUGACGAAUUGUAGUUUAAAGAAGUGUUUUCUGUUAGAUGAGUAGCAAAAGUUCCUUGGAAUGGGACAUCAUAGAGGGUGAGAAUCCCGUAUUUGGUUAUUCAUUCUAGCUUUGUGAUACACUUUCAAAGAGUCGGAUUGUUUGGGAAUGCAGUCCAAAAUGGGUGGUAAAUUUCAUCUAAAGCUAAAUAUUGGCGAGAGACCGAUAGCGAACAAGUACCGUGAGGGAAAGAUGAAAAGAACUUUGAAAAGAGAGUUAAACAGUACGUGAAAUUGUCAAAAGGGAAGCGUUUGACACCAGUGUUGUUUUUCCGAAAAUCAAUUACGAAUGGCUUGAUUUUGUGUUGUAUUGACCUUAUCAGCUUUCUUCACUUUUUUCGAGUCUUUCUUAAUGCACUUUUCGGUUAACAAGUCAACAUCAAUUUCUUUGUUGUAGAAGAGUAUUCGGAAGGUGGCUUUCUUUUCGGAGAAAGUGUUUAUAGCCCUAUACUUCUACAAUCGGAGAGAUUGAGGUCUGCAGCGUAGAUCCUUCGGGGUUAGAUACACUUGUGCUAAGUUGUAGCUUUUCAUAGACAACUUGUUGACUAUGUUUAGUCAUGCGGCUUACUCGCUUAUGCUAUUUUACCUACGCUUAGGAUGUUGACUGAUAUGUAGUCGUA